RNAcentral lists this ribosomal RNA (497 nucleotides) under uncultured bacterium. Its description in RNAcentral is "partial 16S ribosomal RNA". It matches the Rfam family "Bacterial small subunit ribosomal RNA", at positions 28 to 507 of the family's 1533-position model. The record is from RNAcentral.
GAUGAACGCUGGCGGCGUGCCUAAUACAUGCAAGUCGAGCGAACGGACGAGAAGCUUGCUUCUCUGAUGUUAGCGGCGGACGGGUGAGUAACACGUGGAUAACCUACCUAUAAGACUGGGAUAACAUCGGGAAACCGUAGCUAAUACCGGAUAAUAUUUUGAACCGCAUGGUUCAAAAGUGAAAGACGGUCUUGCUGUCACUUAUAGAUGGAUCCGCGCUGCAUUAGCUAGUUGGUAAGGUAACGGCUUACCAAGGCAACGAUGCAUAGCCGACCUGAGAGGGUGAUCGGCCACACUGGAACUGAGACACGGUCCAGACUCCUACGGGGGGCAGCAGUAGGGAAUCUUCCGCAAAGGGCGAAAUCCUGACGGAGCAACGCCGCGUGAGUGAUGAAGGUCUUCGGAUCGUAAAACUCUGUUAUUAGGGAAGAACAUAUGUGUAAGUAACUGUGCACAUCUUGACGGUACCUAAUCAGAAAGCCACGGCUAACUACGUG